GCUGGGUGUGGUGGCGCACGCCUGUAAUCCCAGCUACUCGGGAGGCUGAGGCAGAAGAAUCGCUUGAACCCAGGAGGCGGAGGUUGCAGUGAGCUGAGAUCUCACCAUUGCACUCCAGCUGGGGCAACAGAGCGAGACUCUGUCUCAA
Unclassified non-coding RNA from Callithrix jacchus (white-tufted-ear marmoset), 148 nucleotides. It matches the Rfam family "Metazoan signal recognition particle RNA". Rfam says of the family: The signal recognition particle (SRP) is a universally conserved ribonucleoprotein. The record is from Ensembl. Lineage: Eukaryota; Metazoa; Chordata; Mammalia; Primates; Cebidae.